UAUAUUCUUUCUAAACUAAUAUGCGCCUGAUUAUUAAUAGUUAUAGUCUUCAAAAUCAAAGAAUUUGGCGGUGAUUUAAUCUUAUUAGGGGAACCUGUUUUUUAAACGAUAAACCACGAAAUAUCUUACCUGUUAAUUGUAGCUUGUAUACCGUCAUUAAGAUAACUUUUAAAAAACAAGUUAUUUCAACAAAUAAAUGUUUGUCAUAUUAGAUCAAGGUGCAGCAGAUGAGCAGGCUAAAAUGGGUUACAAUAGGCUUCGCCUACUUUACGGAUGCUUUUACGAAAAUGAAAGUUAAAGGGGGACUUAAAAGUAGAAAAAUAUUUUAAUAAGAUAUUUCGAAUUUAGCACUAAAU
Molecule: ribosomal RNA, 356 nt
Filed under: Dardanus venosus
Lineage: Eukaryota; Metazoa; Arthropoda; Malacostraca; Decapoda; Diogenidae
Description: partial small subunit ribosomal RNA
Source: RNAcentral